RNAcentral lists this small RNA (648 nucleotides) under uncultured fungus. Its description in RNAcentral is "eukaryotic LSU rRNA". The stretch from base 213 to 367 matches the Rfam family "5.8S ribosomal RNA". Lineage: Eukaryota; Fungi. The record is from RNAcentral.
GGAAGGAUCAUUACUGAAUUGUCAAACGGGCUGUUGCUGGUCCUCGAAUGGGGACAUGUGCACGCUCUGUUUACACAUCCACUCACACCUGUGCACCCUCUGUAGUUUUACGGUCUGGGGGACCCUGUCUUCCUUCCGUAGUUCUACGUCUUUACACACACACUGUAAUAAAGUCUUAUGGAAUGUAUGCCGCGUCUAACGCAACACAAUACAACUUUCAGCAACGGAUCUCUUGGCUCUCGCAUCGAUGAAGAACGCAGCGAAAUGCGAUAAGUAAUGUGAAUUGCAGAAUUCAGUGAAUCAUCGAAUCUUUGAACGCACCUUGCGCCCCUUGGAUAUUCCGAGGGGCAUGCCUGUUUGAGUAUCAUGAACACCUCAACUCUCAUGGUUUGCCAUGAUGAGCUUGGACCUUGGGGGUUUUGCUGGCCUGUGGUCGGCUCCUCUUAAAUGAAUCAGCCUCCCAGUGUUUGGUGGCAUCACGGGUGUGAUAACUAUCUACGCUCGCGGUUGUCCACCGGGUAACCUUUGGUGACAAAGGUUCGCUGGAGCUCACAGAUGUCUCUCCUCAGCGAGGACAGCUUUUUAACGUUCGAUCUCAAAUCAGGUAGGACUACCCGCUGAACUUAAGCAUAUCAAUAAGCGGAGGAA